This 465-nucleotide ribosomal RNA is filed under the name Vreelandella stevensii. RNAcentral's name for it is "partial 16S ribosomal RNA". It matches the Rfam family "Bacterial small subunit ribosomal RNA", at positions 338 to 795 of the family's 1533-position model. Lineage: Bacteria; Pseudomonadati; Pseudomonadota; Gammaproteobacteria; Oceanospirillales; Halomonadaceae. The record is from RNAcentral.
CCUACGGGUGGCUGCAGUGGGGAAUAUUGGACAAUGGGGGCAACCCUGAUCCAGCCAUGCCGCGUGUGUGAAGAAGGCCCUCGGGUUGUAAAGCACUUUCAGUGAGGAAGAACGCCUGGUGGUUAAUACCCAUCAGGAAAGACAUCACUCACAGAAGAAGCACCGGCUAACUCCGUGCCAGCAGCCGCGGUAAUACGGAGGGUGCGAGCGUUAAUCGGAAUUACUGGGCGUAAAGCGCGCGUAGGUGGCUUGAUAAGCCGGUUGUGAAAGCCCCGGGCUCAACCUGGGAACGGCAUCCGGAACUGUCAAGCUAGAGUGCAGGAGAGGAAGGUAGAAUUCCCGGUGUAGCGGUGAAAUGCGUAGAGAUCGGGCGGAAUACCAGUGGCGAAGGCGGCCUGCUGGACUGACACUGACACUGAGGUGCGAAAGCGUGGGUAGCAAACAGGAUUAGAUACCCUUGUAGUC